AUGCCAAAGGACGGGCUUGCGUCUGAUUAGCUGGUUGGUGAGAUAAUAGCUUACCAAGGCAACGAUCAGUAGCUGGUCUGAGAGGAUGAUCAGCCACAUUGGGACUGAGACACGGCCCAGACCUCUACGGAGGGCAGCAGUGAGGAAUUUUCCGCAAUGGGCGAAAGCCUGACGGAGCAAUGCCGCGUGGAGGAUGACGGCUCUUGGGUUGUAAACUCCUUUUCUCAAAGAAGAAAAAAAUGACGGUAUUUGAGGAAUAAGCAUCGGCUAACUUCGUGCCAGCAGCCGCGGUAAGACGGGGGAUGCAAGCGUUAUCCGGAAUUAUUGGGCGUAAAGCGUCCGAAGGUGGUUUUUGAAGUCGACUGUUAAAGCUCAAAGCUCAACUUUGAAUAUGCAGUCUUUGAUACUCAAUAACUAGAGUUUGAUAGGGGUAGAGGGAAUUCUCGGUGGAGUGGUAAAAUGCGUAGAGAUCGAGAAGAACACCGGUGGCGAAAGCGCUCUACUGGGUCAAUACUGACACUCAUGGACGAAAGCUAAGGGAGUGAGUAGGAUUAGAUACCCUAGUAAUCUUAGCUGUAAACGAUGGAAACUCAGUCUUGGAGACAUUCAGGGCUUAAGCUUACGCGGUAAGUUUCCCGCCUGGGGAGUAUGCUCGCAAGAGUGAAACUCAAAGGAAUUGA
Molecule: ribosomal RNA, 680 nt
Filed under: uncultured bacterium
Lineage: Bacteria
Description: bacterial SSU rRNA
Rfam family: Bacterial small subunit ribosomal RNA
Source: RNAcentral